RNAcentral lists this ribosomal RNA (253 nucleotides) under uncultured bacterium. Its description in RNAcentral is "partial 16S ribosomal RNA". It matches the Rfam family "Bacterial small subunit ribosomal RNA", at positions 524 to 776 of the family's 1533-position model. The record is from RNAcentral.
UACGGAGGAUCCAAGCGUUAUCCGGAUUUAUUGGGUUUAAAGGGUGCGUAGGCGGCCAUUUAAGUCAGAGGUGAAAGACGGUAGCUCAACUAUCGCAGUGCCUUUGAUACUGAAUGGCUUGAAUGAACUAGAGGUAGGCGGAAUGAGACAAGUAGCGGUGAAAUGCAUAGAUAUGUCUCAGAACACCGAUUGCGAAGGCAGCUUACUAUGGUUUAAUUGACGCUGAGGCACGAAAGCGUGGGGAUCAAACAGG